This 324-nucleotide long non-coding RNA is filed under the name Mytilus galloprovincialis (Mediterranean mussel). The record is from RNAcentral. Lineage: Eukaryota; Metazoa; Mollusca; Bivalvia; Mytilida; Mytilidae.
GUUGGCCCCAGAUGACUUUCAAAAUGUAUACAUCAUUGAAAAACUUCCAAAUUAUCUCCCUUUGGUGGAAAAAUGCCAUUUUUUUGGCUUUAAAAUUGAAUUAUCUUUUUCAACUCAUCGGUGACGUAUCUUUUUUAAUAUAAUUUCCAUAUAAGCUGUACUUAAACUAAAUUAUUGUAAAAUUUUAGCGAUUUCUGUAAUAAAUUUCUUUUUUUUAUUUCGAUAUUACUUUAUUUCUCCUAUUACUUCAACAGAAAAAACCACCUUUACAAAAAUGUAUGCUUCUUUCGAAGGCAGAUUGUGAGCGCAAAUGAACGGUGACCC